RNAcentral lists this ribosomal RNA (799 nucleotides) under uncultured organism. RNAcentral's name for it is "bacterial SSU rRNA". It matches the Rfam family "Bacterial small subunit ribosomal RNA", at positions 85 to 885 of the family's 1533-position model. The record is from RNAcentral.
AUGCUGACGACCGGCGCACGGGUGAGUAACGCGUAUGCAACCUUCCUGUAUCUGGAGGAUAGGCCUUGGAAACGAGGAUUAAUACUGCGUAACAUUAUAUUAUCGCAUGAUAAAAUAAUCAAAUCUACGGAGGAUACAGAUGGGCAUGCGUGCCAUUAGCUAGAUGGUAAGGUAAGGGCUUACCAUGGCGACGAUGGCUAGGGGUUCUGCAAGGAAGAUCCCCCACACUGGUACUGAGACACGGACCAGACUCCUACGGGAGGCAGCAGUGAGGAAUAUUGGUCAAUGGAGGCAACUCUGAACCAGCCAAGCCGCGUGAAGGAAGACUGUUCUAUGAAUUGUAAACUUCUUUUGUGACAGAGUAAAGAUAGCUACGCGUAGUUAUUUGCAAGUAUGUCAUGAAUAAGCAUCGGCUAACUCCGUGCCAGCAGCCGCGGUAAUACGGAGGAUGCAGGCGUUAUCCGGAUUUAUUAGGUUUAAAGGGUGUUCAGGCUGUCUGGUAAGUCAGAGGUGAAAGUCGGUUGCUUAACGAUCGAAUUGCCUUUGAAACUGUCAGACUUGAGUAUGGAUGCGGUAGGCGGAAUGUGUAGUGUAGCGGUGAAAUGCAUAGAUAUUACACAGAACACCGAUUGCGAAAGCAGCUUACCAAACCAGCACUGACGCUGAAGCACGAAAGCGUGGGUAGCGAACAGGAUUAGAUACCCUGGUAGUCCACGCAGUAAACGAUGCUCACUCGCUGUUGGCAAUAGAUCGUCAGCGGCUAAGGGAAACCGAUAAGUGAGCCACCUGGGGAGUACGA